Bufo bufo (common toad) is the source of this 381-nucleotide long non-coding RNA. RefSeq lists it as uncharacterized. Lineage: Eukaryota; Metazoa; Chordata; Amphibia; Anura; Bufonidae. The transcript is spliced from 3 exons. The record is from RefSeq and is a predicted model, not a curated record.
AUUAGGACCCAACAUCGACCUGAGAAUAGGGGGACAAGCUUCAAUUCUGAAUAGAACCAUAGUGUGCAUGUCGGUGCACCGCUUCUUUCACUUCUACGGGAACGAUGUAGAUACUUCCCCUUACUUCCUUACAAGAAGAUACUGACAAAAAUCAGCUUCUCCUUUUACACUCGACACCAUUGUCUCUGUCCAUCCAUCAUGUCCCCAGAGACGUCCGUCUUCUUACUCUGUUUGGUUUUCCUACAAGAAGGAGCCUCCAUCAGACCUGUGGUGACCUUCACUCCAAACUACAAGAAGAUAUUCACAACGGAGUCUAUAACAAUGACCUGUGAUGUGGACUCUACUAUAGGAGAAGACCUGAAUUAUAUAUGGUACAAAGAC